This 471-nucleotide ribosomal RNA is filed under the name uncultured organism. RNAcentral's name for it is "partial 16S ribosomal RNA". It matches the Rfam family "Bacterial small subunit ribosomal RNA", at positions 335 to 797 of the family's 1533-position model. The record is from RNAcentral.
ACUCCUACGGGAGGCAGCAGUGGGGAAUUUUGGACAAUGGGCGAAAGCCUGAUCCAGCAAUGCCGCGUGUGUGAAGAAGGCCUUCGGGUUGUAAAGCACUUUUGUCCGGAAAGAAAUCCUUGGCUCUAAUACAGUCGGGGGAUGACGGUACCGGAAGAAUAAGCACCGGCUAACUACGUGCCAGCAGCCGCGGUAAUACGUAGGGUGCGAGCGUUAAUCGGAAUUACUGGGCGUAAAGCGUGCGCAGGCGGUUUGCUAAGACCGAUGUGAAAUCCCCGGGCUCAACCUGGGAACUGCAUUGGUGACUGGCAGGCUAGAGUAUGGCAGAGGGGGGUAGAAUUCCACGUGUAGCAGUGAAAUGCGUAGAGAUGUGGAGGAAUACCGAUGGCGAAGGCAGCCCCCUGGGCCAAUACUGACGCUCAUGCACGAAAGCGUGGGGAGCAAACAGGAUUAGAAACCCCGGUAGUCCCA